GACGAACGCUGGCGGCGUGCUUAACACAUGCAAGUCGAACGGAAAGGCCCUGCUUUUGUGGGGUGCUCGAGUGGCGAACGGGUGAGUAACACGUGAGUAACCUGCCCUUGACUUUGGGAUAACUUCAGGAAACUGGGGCUAAUACCGGAUAGGAGCUCCUGCUGCAUGGUGGGGGUUGGAAAGUUUCGGCGGUUGGGGAUGGACUCGCGGCUUAUCAGCUUGUUGGUGGGGUAGUGGCUUACCAAGGCUUUGACGGGUAGCCGGCCUGAGAGGGUGACCGGCCACAAUGGGACUGAGAUACGGCCCAGACUCCUACGGGAGGCAGCAGGGGGGAAUAUUGCACAAUGGGCGGAAGCCUGAUGCAGCAACGCCGCGUGCGUGAUGACGGCCUUCGGGUUGUAAACCGCUUUCGCCGGUGACGAAGCGUGAGUGACGGUAAUGGGUAAAGAAGCACCGGCUAACUACGUG
RNAcentral lists this ribosomal RNA (468 nucleotides) under uncultured bacterium. RNAcentral describes it as "partial 16S ribosomal RNA". It matches the Rfam family "Bacterial small subunit ribosomal RNA", at positions 28 to 507 of the family's 1533-position model. The record is from RNAcentral.